RNAcentral lists this ribosomal RNA (301 nucleotides) under uncultured bacterium. RNAcentral describes it as "partial 16S ribosomal RNA". It matches the Rfam family "Bacterial small subunit ribosomal RNA", at positions 509 to 809 of the family's 1533-position model. The record is from RNAcentral.
CAGCAGCCGCGGUAAUACGUAGGUGGCAAGCGUUGUCCGGAAUUAUUGGGCGUAAAGGGCUCGCAGGCGGUUUCUUAAGUCUGAUGUGAAAGCCCCCGGCUCAACCGGGGAGGGUCAUUGGAAACUGGGAAACUUGAGUGCAGAAGAGGAGAGUGGAAUUCCACGUGUAGCGGUGAAAUGCGUAGAUAUUGGGAAGAACACCGGUGGCGAAGGCGGCAACCUGGCUCAUUACUGACGCUGAGGCGCGAAAGCGUGGGUAGCAAACAGGAUUAGAUACCCGCGUAGUCCCUGUCUCUUAUAA